RNAcentral lists this transfer RNA (70 nucleotides) under Dialister pneumosintes. It matches the Rfam family "tRNA". From Rfam's summary of the family: Transfer RNA (tRNA) molecules are approximately 80 nucleotides in length. Their secondary structure includes four short double-helical elements and three loops (D, anti-codon, and T loops). Further hydrogen bonds mediate the characteristic L-shaped molecular structure. tRNAs have two regions of fundamental functional importance: the anti-codon, which is responsible for specific mRNA codon recognition, and the 3' end, to which the tRNAs corresponding amino acid is attached (by aminoacyl-tRNA synthetases). tRNAs cope with the degeneracy of the genetic code in two manners: having more than one tRNA (with a specific anti-codon) for a particular amino acid; and 'wobble' base-pairing, i.e. permitting non-standard base-pairing at the 3rd anti-codon position. Lineage: Bacteria; Bacillati; Bacillota; Negativicutes; Veillonellales; Veillonellaceae. The record is from RNAcentral.
CCGAUAUAGCUCAGUUGGUAGAGCGGCGCAUUCGUAAUGCGUAGGUCGCAGGUUCAAAUCCUGUUGUCGG